GCCGGGCAUGGUGGCGCAUGCCUGUAAUCCCAGCGGCUCAGGAGGAUCACGAGUUCAAAGCCAGCCUCAGCAACUGCAAGGGGCUAAGCAACUCGGUGAGACCCUGUCUCUAAAUAAAAUACAAAACAGGGCUGGGGAUGUGGCUCAGUGGUCGAGUGCCCCCGAAUUCAAUCCCUGGGAAUUCCCCCACCCAAAAAAUAUUGUAGGGGCUGAGCAUGGUAUCACACCUAACUGGGAGGCUGAGUCAGGAGGAUCUCUUGAGCCCAGGAGUUCAAGGUCAUCCUGGGCCACAUAGCAAGUCCUUGUCUCAA
This 311-nucleotide small RNA is filed under the name Marmota monax (woodchuck). Lineage: Eukaryota; Metazoa; Chordata; Mammalia; Rodentia; Sciuridae. The record is from RNAcentral.